This 1078-nucleotide long non-coding RNA is filed under the name Chloebia gouldiae (Gouldian finch). RNAcentral describes it as "Erythrura gouldiae (Gouldian finch) lncRNA (ENSEGOG00005018764.1)". Lineage: Eukaryota; Metazoa; Chordata; Aves; Passeriformes; Passeridae. The record is from RNAcentral.
CAGCCGUGUCUGGGGGUGACAGCUCUGUCUGGGGGUGACAGCCGUGUCCCCAGUGGGUGACAGGCGUGUCUGGGGGUGACAGCCGUGUCCCCAGCGCGGUGACAGCCGUGUCCCCCCAGAGGUGUUCCCGCCGCAGAUGGAGGGGGUGAAGCUGAUCGUCACCAAGACCCUGAGCAGCCACUUCCAGGUCGGCGAGGGGACACCCGGGGACACGAAGGGGGGGUGGCCGCGCCCCGUGACCGCCGGUGUCCCCGCAGGUGACACACACGGUGCACAUGAGCGCCCUGGGCCCCUCCGGCUACCGCUUCAACGCCACCUUCCUGGGGGACCGCCAGCUCGGGCCCACCGAGGUGUUCCCCACGCUGCUCGGGGACAUGGACAGCGCCGGCAGCCUGAACGCGCAGGCCCUGCAGCUGCUGGGCGAGCGCCUCCGCGCCAAGGCCGUGUUCCAGACGCAGCAGGCCAAGUUCGUGACGUGGCAGUUUGACGGCGAGUACCGCGGUGACGACUGCACGGCCACGCUGACGCUGGGCAACCCCGACCUGCUGGGCGGCUCCGGUGAGCGCCGCCGGCCCCACGCCGACCACGGCGGCCCCUCGGUGAUCACGGUGGCCCCUCGGUGAUCCCGGCGGCCCCGUGGUGAUCCCAGUGACCCCGUGGUGAUCCCGGCGGCCCUGUGGUGAUCACGGCGGCCCCGUGGUGAUCCCGGUGGCCACGGAGAGAUCCCGGUGGCCACGGUGGCCCCGCGGUGAUCCCGGUGACCCCGCGGUGGUCCUGGUGGCUACGGAGAGAUCCCGGUGGCCACGGGGAAACCACUGAGGCCCCGCGGUGAUCCCGGUGGCCCCGCGGUGAUCCCGGUGGCCACGGUGGCCCCGCGGUGAUCCCGGUGGCCACGGUGGCCCCACGGUGAUCACGGUGACCCCGGCGACACCAUUGAGGCCCUGCAGUGAUCCCGGUGGCCCCGCGCCGAUCCUGGUGGCCCCACAGUGAUCCCGGUGGCCCCACAGUGAUCCCGGUGACCCCGCAGUGAUCCCGGUGACCCCGCAGUGAUCCCGGUGACCCCGGGGACACCGCUGAG